GCCCCGCUUCGCUGCCCCGCGCUGCGAUUGGCUCCCCUGAUCUAUCCCGCCUUUCCGCCGAACCCUGGAUUGUGAUUGCGCCGCCCCGCCCUGCCGCGAUCCCGCCCCGCCCCGCCCGCUAUUGGGCCAGCCGUUGGGGUGGCAACGCCGCUGCCCCACCGCCCCCGGGUGGGCCUGGGGCCUGGGGCCCGGCGACCUCGGCCUGGGCCCGGGCGGCCCGCGGGGCGCGGCGCGGCGCCCGCCGCCGACCCCUGCCGGAGACACCACUCGCUCUAGCCAAGCGAGUCGUGCCGGUGCGGGCCGCGGCGCGCCUCUGGGCCCCCCAGCGAAACGCGGCCUCGGCGGCCGCCGGAACGCUUGGGGAGCCGCGGGGAGCCGGGCGGGCCGCGGGGGAGCCCGGGCGGCCGCCAGCCGGUCCCGGGCGCGGGGUGCUUUGUUUUCGCGCCUUAGCAAGUGACCCCGGCCCCGCGCUCCUCCGACGGCUGCCUGCCCUGCGCCUUCUCGCCGCUCGCACCGGGGGCUUUCGGCCCGAGCGGAGCCGGGAGCGGCGUUUCUCCUAUUCCCUGCUCUGGUGGGAGAGAGCUAAUGCAGCCAAAAGUAACAAAACCUGCUCUUGGUCAUGAGAUUUGCCCAAAGGUACCUCUUGGAAGUUAAGCGUGCUUGCAAAGCGUUUUAUGUUAUAGAUAUUCCUUCCCGCUGCUGCGUAUUAGUUAUUAACUGUGGAGACCUGUCGGCAUUUUCAAAUGCAGAAGGAUAGCAAAAAUGGAGACCUGGAAAGUUUCUGGUAGAAAUUGCCAUUUGCCAUUUUAUCUGGGUGAAGGAAAAUACAUUUUCGUUUCUAUGUUCCUGUUUCUAUCCCCUUUCUGAAAAAUGACCUUCAAAACAGGGAAGGGGACAGGAAACGUAACAGCAUCUUUCAUUUACACGACGCUCUUGUUUGUUCCUGUAAGCCUCAAAAUGCCGUACUUUGUACGCAGCACUUCGCCUUUACAGCGUGUCACCACAAGAUAAGAAAAUGAAACUGAAGUUUCUGUCUCUGGCCGACCGAAGCUGGGGCUGCAAGACUUUUUCUCGGUGUAAAUAUUAGCCAGCUAUUUGAAGACGCACUGUCCAUGAAGAAUAUUAAUUAUUCGCCAGGAAUCAACCCACUGUGUAAACCCAGUUUAUUUGGUAAAACAGUACAUAUUGUUCUGCUCCUAGGGGAGAAACAUGGGGGUGGGGAAACCCAGCUCCUCCCAAAACUACUGUAUUUGUGAGUUAGAAUGCUCGUUUGUACUAAUUACAGGAGCAAAACCAAUAAUACAAGCAAAACUGCCUUGAUGAGGAUGUCAUGGGGUACAAGGCCGCCCUCAAAACCAAGUUUGCUGUUUACUCAUCAGCAAAGGACCGAGCCUGGUGUGAGGCAAAGCAGUUUGCUGCCCUCCAGAACACACCCAGCUCCCUGAGACCAAGCACACACUACGUGCCUGAGCAGAUCCAGUAUUUUAGUGUAUUACGAGUUUGUCUUUACUGGUCUUCGUAUGAAGCAAGAAGUACCCCAGCAAGGUCUGCAGGCUGUUAGCGAGAAGUUGCCUGUGGGACCCCCAUGCUGAUGAGUUGUGGGAAUGCUCCACACUCCAAGCAGUUCUUGAAACAGCUCAUUAAGAGUGGCACAGAAAUGCCUGUUGAAUCUGUCCUUGGGCUCUCUAAUGAAAAGUUCUUCAUUCCAACAGGAAUUAUGUGGUACCAGCAAUAUGUGCAGAGUAUGGAUUUAUCUAUGCUUGCAAUAGCACGCUUCACGCGUGUGUUCUUGAAACCGCCUCCUAUCAAAAGCAUAGCUUUGCUGAAAUCAUUAGUCAGAAAUGUUUCUGGUACAACUGUGCCCCACCUCUUCUUAAUCCCAGUUGACAUAGCUGUCAGUUAAAGUUGGUUGGGUUUUUUUACAGAUGCAGCUAGGCGUUCUGCUGGUAUAAAACCCACUGAAAAGCCUCUAGACUAGACCUACAUGUAGCACACUUGGCUUGAGAAUCACCAGCAACUGGUAAUUAGAGAAGUUUUGUGGGAUAGUUGUGAAAUCAUAGUGCUACAUGGUAAGAAGUCUCUCAUGAAUUUGUUACAUUCCAAAACAUCUGUAGUUGUACUUGAAAAUGCUUGCAUUUGUGUUUAUGCUUGAGCUGAAUUUGCUUGGGAAGUUUAAUAAGAUUUUUUUAAAACUGUUUUAUAGCUAGGCAAGGAUAGAAAAAAAGGAUCUCUGGGCACCCAGAAAUGUUCUUGCUGCUUUUCAUUCUUGAAAAGGAAAAAAAAAUUAAUGGAAAAGGCUUCCUUCUUGACAUGUUUGGAAAAGAAAAAUGCAGGCGCUAAAGAAACAAGCACAGUGUCGAUUUUUAAAUAUUGGUUUAAUGAGAUGUAAAUUACCUCUCUGUACAUGAGCUGAAGGCCUUUGUUCUACAGCCCAGAUUCACUUAAGGAAGCAGACAGUGUUUCUCUGUGGUUCCUCCCAAAGGGCGAAAAGCUUUACGCUCUCGUCAAGCCUCCAGAGCAGCUCUGCUGUCAUCAGCCUUGCACUCUUCAGUAGCUGAUUUGUAGAACAGCCUUGACUAGAAGGUUUGCCAAUGUAGCUACAGUAGAAGAGCUGGUAAACCCUCCUAGAGAGGGGAUCCAAUUUAAAUUGCUUUAAUAACUGUGUAUUGCUUAUAUCAGAACUGCAAAGGAUAUUUGCUGUUGAAACUACAUCUGCAGGCUUUUGCCAGCAGAGCUGUAUUGAUUGGCGAAUGUUGUUAUAGUCCUGGUACUGCUAAAUCAGCAAAACUUUUAAAUAUAAACCAGGCCUCCAUCACCUGCCAGUCAGAUUACUCCUUGUCUAGGUUACACAGGUCUCGUACCUUUCCUCACUUCUGUUCGCAUUUAGAGUUGUAUGUGACCUCUGACCAAGUAACCGUAAGCUUUUAUAACUGGAUUAUCUCCCGUUUAUAGCUAAGCAUCUAGGUUACUCCGAAUGUGGAGAGCCUAGUUUUGUUCGUAAGAUCGAAAUGUAGGAGACACCAGAAUUACAGACUCGGGAAGGCAUAAAAAAUUGCAGCUUGCUCUUCCAGUGUCUGGUGGUGAGCAAGGCUGAACUGGAGAUGGGUGAUGAAGGAACCAUCUACUAACAUUUCUUUACUUAGGAAAUUCUGAAUAUUGUAACUUUUCUAAUACGGUUUGGGUUUCACAGCCUCAGAAAUUCUUAAGACAAACCGAAUAUAUUUAGCAAAAAAGAAUUUGCUAGGUUGAUAAUUAGGAAAAAUUCAAAUACUGACAUACCAAAAAAUACAUUUAGUAUGUCUAGACAAAUGUACUAACCUAUAUUGCCCUUCAAAGCUUUGCAAGAUAGUCCUGGCAGCUUGUAAUUUCCAUAAUGUUUUCAUUGCGAUGAGUUCAUCUUUACAAGAAGGCAGACAGACUGCAAACAGCAACGAGCCAGGAUCAAAGACUAACGAUACAUCGGGAAGAAACUGUUGAAUCAACAUAUUCCUGCCUUUGUCAAUCUACACCGAGUACCAUGGCAUAAAAACCAGAUCUCUGAAAUAUUUUGGACAAUAUUAUCAAACCUGGUACUUGGUGUGUACAUCUAACACCCAACGAUGUGACAGUAGCCUUUUGGGAGCGACAUCUUUAUUUACACUGACUCUAACUAGCUGGGCUACUGGUAAAAGCCUGACUACAGCAGCUUGUGUUCCUGGUACUGAAGACUUGCCGAGUUCCCACAAAGGCUUGCGUAACCUCUCGAAAGCCCGUGUCGUCACAGCUAGAUUGUUACCAGUACCCGAGUUGACAUGCCACCACCUCUGAAAUGACAUCUUGGCGGGUCUUGGGAGGUUGAAGGACUAAAAACCCAGAUGUAUUUUACUCUGGCACUUCUGUGUCAUCUUCAGCUGCCCAGGCAGAUAUGUUUUACUGUUCUGUGCUACCUGUGACUGGGCGACACUUUGCUGGGCAAGGUUCUGGGUUGCUACAGAAACUGUCUCUGCAGAUCCAUUCAAUCAAGCAAGGCUCUAGUGACAAGACUUGUGCUUUCAGCAGGAACAUAAAUAAUUCACAUUUUUGCUGAGCUGCUCUCUGUGCCUUCCCUACGAGCAGACUGGCGGUUCAAAGAAAAGCAGCUGUGAUUAGCUGGAACUCAUACGUUGAGAGUUAAAGCCGUGUUUACUGACAUAUAUUACAUUUUCAACAUGUUUUGCUUCAGAGCCUAAUUUUUUUUUGGAGAGGGGCAACACCAGCAAGCCUGUCAACCAUUUUUCAGAAAGAUAACGGGCGAGACUCUUCUUUUAACUAAACCCGCUCCUAUCACAUCGCAUCACACUCCACCAGUUGUCCCUUGCUGCAGUACAGCCGCCAAGGAGGCAGCUGGUUUUGUGACUGAUAAAGCAUGCGGUCACAUAAGACCGUGGAGUUAACCUGGAAAAGAUCCCCCGAUGUUUCAGAUUUGCCUGGCUGUCCCAUCCGUGGGUAGCAGCAGCCGUUGGCACAGAUAUCACUGCGUAACUACAGUGGUGAAGGACUCACAACAUUUAGGCUCUGUUUAUGCGUGGUGCUGGAACUGCUCACUAAAACUUGACGUUAAGCUGUAUGACUAUUAAAAUGCCUCUUCUAUACACAAAUUCAAGAGGAUUCCCUCUGUAGGGGUCGUAAACCCUUCUCACUCUGACUUUUCCUGUCUAUGCAAACAAUCAGUCCAGUAUUUCAUCCGUCCCUCUCUCAACCGUGCUUCUGCUGUUCAGCUCUGGGAGUUCAACUCUUCCUUCUGCAACACCACCACCCACUUUUACAACUAUUUUCAAUGAAUAUGGGAUGGAUGUCAGUGAGUGUGGGAUAAAUGUCAGUGAGUAUGGGAGAGGUACGAUCGCCCGCAGCAGUGUUUGGGCGAGCCAAGUUCUCGUCCACCUUUAGCAAGUCAAUCACCCAAGAACCUUGUGAGUAAACUCUAUGUAGUGAAACAGUAUUUAGGUCGUAUUUGUGAUUAGCGUGACUGCAGCUGUCCUGGCCUCUGCUCAAGCCAUGGCCUGACCUUUUUGAUAUGUUACAGUGUGGUCUAAUAAGAAGCACAUCUUAUGGUAUGUGAUCCAUAAAAAAAGUCCUUUUGCACUCAUGCCAUUUGUCCUUGGUGGUCAGCUACAUCUGCUGGAGGUUGUGGGUGCCAGGUCAUUGUGCUGGGAGCUGCCACCCCCCCCGAAGUUACAGACCCUCCUGCCCCUCUGUCCCCAUCACAGCUGCAUCUGGCUGCAGGAUAUUCUGUAUUUUCAUGCUUCUGUGUGUUGCAUCAGCUUACUAAAUGUUUUGAAGUUGGUGUGGGAGAAUGUAUCUGCUUUUCCUAGAUCUCUUUUUAGAAACGUUUCCAGCCUGCCAACUCUGUGGAGUAUACUAUAGAGAGACUGAAAAGCUCUAGACUUCUGGCUGGGGUCUCUCCUCUGAACAGCAAAGGCACAUGGAUCCAUAUCAGGGUAAAGAGCUAUUCCAGCCGUAUCCAUGCAGCUGCCAUUUCUGCCACAGAAACCAGUGGCAUGGCGUGACGGGUGAUGGAAGGCGUGUUGUGAUCCAUUUUACUUCCCAGAUCCUUUUGGGAAAACCAACUGCUUACCAGGUCCUCCUUAUCCUGUGCCUGUGUCCCUGAUCAUUCAUGCCUUAGUGUACAACUUUGCUCUGGUCCCCACAGAGUUUCAGUCUUUUAAACAUCAUUCCAGUUGUAAAGUUUGUUUUGAACUUGAAUCCCAUCCUCUAUUAUAUUGCAGCCUUUACAGAUUUGCACUAUCAGCAAAUUUCAUACAUGUAUUUUCUAUUCUAUCAUUCAUAUUGUUAGUGAAGACAUUGAACGUAUUAGGACAGACCCCAGUAGCCACCACUCUGUGCUGACAACAUAUGAAACCUGACUUCUACUGACCCUGUAGGAGUUCCAGCUAGUUUGUUUACAAGAAUGCAAAACAAGACAAAAAUUUAACUGAAGUCCUGAUCUCUGCGGCUUCAUCUCUACUGUUUCACUGAAAUCUGGUACCUACUGCUUUUUGCUUAUUUAUGAGUCUUGUUAGCUUAUCAUAGAAAGAAAUUUGAUUGCAAUUUCUUCCUGAUGUAAUUUCUACCUGAUGAACCCAUGGUAGCUGCUACUCCUCUCCUUGUUAUUUUCCAAAUGCCUACAAAUGACUUUUUAUCUGCUCCAAAUUGAAGGAACUGAAGACAGCUGGUCUUUAAUUUGUUAGUUCCAAAGACCAAACCCAUCAGAUCCUGCAUCUCAUUGAUGGUAUUAAAGUCGCACACCUUACAUUAACCCACUAGAAAUGCUGGAAGUGAUUUACAUAAUGAACUCCGAGCCUGCACAACUGCAUGCCUACAGUGAGCGAGGAUCUGACUAGCAGAGAGCAUCUGAUCUUCACACUAACGCUCUAAAAAUCAAUUGGGAAAAAAGGCAACGUGAACACCAAGCUCUGAAAAGGAAGAGCUGUUCUGCAGCGUGGUUAUGGAAGCAGGGCUGAGAGGGACACCUGCAGGGGCAUCGCUCUGUUCUGCCUGACGAGCAUAUGCAGAAGAACAUGAUUAUACAUGUUUUACGCUGCUCUUGAGGACUUGAAGCUGGAAUGCCCUGCCUGCAUCCACCUCCAGAGGAUCCCCAAAGCUACGGAGUUGCAUACAUACGCCGCCAUCCACAGUUCUUGGAAAAAACAUCCUAUUUUGGUUGUAGCAGGGUCAUUCUUUCAAUAUAUGAAGAAGAGAGCUAUCCUGGCUGUGCUGCAAAAAACACUUCUGAGGAGGUGGAAAAUGCCUGGGGGGUGAGUGGGAUGGGACAUGUGAAGCCAUGGCCCCCUGCAGACCCUGCCUGAGGGCACCUGCACAAGGGCCAGGUGAACCAGCACAUCCUUCAUCAGUGGUCUGAGUAGAUCCCGCUCAUCACAUCAGUGCUACAGUGGCACACUGCUGUAGGGAACACAGAGGGAACAGGGAGCAUGGCCUUGAAAGAGCGGCCUUGCAGCAGAUCUGUGCCUGACAGCUGGCUCUCCAAGGCUGCAAGACAAAAUGAUAAAAGCACAACGACUUCUUCACAUGCUGGUGCUGCCUAAAGCCUCGCCUUUCCAGCUGAGGCCCGGUAAUGCCUAACUGAAGUGUAAACUCUUUAAGGACUCCGUAGACACUACAGUAAAACAAUUCACUGGCUGACCUAAGUGGGAUUGUUUAAAGAAGCACUCACAAUGUUCUUCUUCAAGACCAUCAUAAAAGUCCUGGGCUGAUUCCCAAGUUCUUUUACCAUCCAUUUGCCUGAGUUUCUAGCAGGGAUAAAACUACUACAGUUUAUCUGCACACUGUAGGAACAUGCAACUGCCUAAUAUCCCUGUCUGCAGCGCUGUGUUCACCCAAAAAGUAUUUACAGUAAAUAUUGUAAAUCAUAAACAAUCCAUAACGAAUUAGCAAACUUUACAUUGGGAGCAGCUGGUAUAUUGGGAUAUACCAUGAGAAUCACUGCUUGGAGAUGUGCCAAGUGAGACAAGGACUGGGACAGGUUCCUAACCUGGUCAUGAUCAGUUCUUGGUUUAAGGUGGGUUUAUAUGAGGCAGGACCGUGUUUGGGUGGCUUGGCAUAAUUUUAAAUAUAUUUAGACAAAGGGUGAAAGUGUAUUUCUGCGUCUAAUUAACUGCUUCAGUGCUGUGGAAAGGGGCCAGAUUCAGCCCCAUAAUAAAACCGACCCUCGAUUACUUGAUUAUAUAUAUAUAUAUACACACACACUCACAUAUGCGCAAUAUUUUAUAUGAUUUAGUCUGCAAUUUCAGUUAAGUCAAUAAAUUAGCCGAUUCAGAUUAUCCAGUUAAAAUGGCAGGUCACCAGUAUAUAUAUACAUACUGAUGAGCUGGUGAACUGCAGCAGAACUCAGCACUGAGCAGGCACAUUAGUAGGUUGCUUAAAUAGAAUCUUUUUAGAUUCUCUCUAUCUGCUUUUUCUGUCUGGUAGCAGAAGUUCUGCCUUUUACCCUUUUCCCCACUCGCAGCUUCUGUCACAGGAAUAAGGAAGUACGCAGGUACCUAUUUGUUUCGCCCAUACUAUGUGAAACACUGCAGGAAUUCUGCACUAGCACAUAAAUAAGUAGAGGGGCAGCAAAUAUGCUUUGUUCAAGCUCUGCAUCUGCUAUAAAGGGCCUCACAAGCACUGAAAAGGGGAAAAAUCAGACUGAUACAGCCCAAGAAGUUAGCUCUGCUGAGGUGCUUUAUGAGCCCUUCUCCUUUGCCUUGCCCUUAUGUUGCUCUUCACCUCUGUACUCAGCUUGUGUAAAUGUGAACGAUCAGGAGAGCAACUUGAUGCUUCCAGGCCAAAGUUUAGCAACGGAUUUAAAUUCACAUCACAAUGUUUUGCAAUUUACUCUCGCCUUGUAAGUGUGCAAAUUGAUACACUAAGCAUAGGGCAAUGGAAUGCCGUUUUCAGCAAUUAACUAAGGAACUCACAUUAUAAUCCUGCAAGACAGCUAAAUGCAGGUAGGUGUAAUUAAUUUUGAAGGUAAUAAACAUAUAUAAUGAUAUUAGCACUCUGGUGGAGUCAUCAGAUCUUUGAGGUGGACCUAUCUCCAGUUUUCCCUUGAAACAAAUGUCCCCGACCACAAAGCUCUCAACUCUAGAAGUCAGAUUUUAUCAGAACAUAAAGGAAUACUUUUUUUAAAAAAUAGAGAACACUUCAAGUGAGGCAGAACAGAAACAGAAAUUUUCUAAAUUAACUCCUUGUAGGGCAGGUUCUCUCUCCUGUAGGGUUCUCUCUUUCAAAGGCUUCUCUUUGUCCCAUCCUACUCUUAAGAUGGUUCACCCAACUCAUCGUGCUUAACUGCACCAAAGCAAAGCAUCUCGCCCCUUUCUGCAACUGUGGCUGCAGCAUCCAAGCCAAGACAGAGGCAGCCUUCCUCCCUGGUGCCAAACAACACCACGUGUGUUUUAUUAUAUAUAUCGUGUUCCAGGGAACACGACACAUAGUAAAAAUGAGCAGAUCAGGUACUACCCCUGCAGGCUGCAAAAGGAGGCCCAGUGUCUGUGGCUGGUUUGCCCUGCACCAGUCAGUUAGAUGCUCUUCGUAAUUGCCUACUUUGUCCUGCUUCAAACCGGCUGUGUAUGCACGUAGGUGUUCAUUAUGGGUGAAUAUAUUUGGCAAUUGUGCAUCUUGUGUUGACUUAUGCGGGUGAAUGAAGGCACACUACCAAAUCCACAGCACAUGAGCAUAUUUAUCAUUUAUAAACAGCUCCGCUCUCAGUAUUGCCAGAUAGACAACUAUCACUGCCUUUGUUAUCAGGGAUGUUACACCCUGUGUAGUGCCAGGGAUGCAGGUAGUCGCUCUGGAGACAGAUGAUUUCACACCAGGGCUUC
Phalacrocorax carbo (great cormorant) is the source of this 9335-nucleotide non-coding RNA. The record is from RefSeq and is a predicted model, not a curated record. NCBI's taxonomy places the organism in Eukaryota, Metazoa, Chordata, Aves, Suliformes, Phalacrocoracidae.